Molecule: long non-coding RNA, 3544 nt
Organism: Cherax quadricarinatus
Lineage: Eukaryota; Metazoa; Arthropoda; Malacostraca; Decapoda; Parastacidae
Source: RefSeq, a predicted model, not a curated record
UAUUAUUAUUCUCGUUUUGUUUUAUUUUAGUACAAUUUGUAAAAUAGUAAUCUUUUUCUUUUGGUGUUAUCUACAUAUAGUUGGUAGGUUGUAAUGAAUGUAAUUGUGUAGUGGAGUAUGACCAAUUACAAGUUUUCUAUCAUGCUUUUGUUUGCCUUUAUUUUGCAAGUGUUUAAAAUACUUGAACAUGAGUACUCUUGGUACAAACAGAUGAGUGUUUGUGGAAAAAAUAGUUUGGCUUGGUAUAUUUUAGGAGUGAUUGUGUUAUAAGGGGUUGACAGAUGUACUCGGGGGUGAGCCGCGCCUGCAGCCGACUCUCGUAAAAUAUAAUACACAAAAGUAAGAAAAAAAAGCUAGUAGUGUUUACACUUUAAUAUUGACAGUUGCGCCUGUGUAUAAUACUACUACGUAUAAAUGGCUGGUGUAACCAAGCGUAAACAGAUAAUUCACAAAUAAGCCUCCACAGUAAAUUAUGAGACCUGUGUAAAGUCAUAGCUAUCUCACUGUCAUUAAACUUAUUUGCUUCCGGGAUGGUAGUUUACCGACUACAUUUCCCAGUCUUCUUUUUGUAUACCUCUCCUGCCAGCGCCAUCUAGGCGUCUUCAGUUUGAGUCCUGCCUGUUUCUGCCUACUUACUCUUCUUUCUUUCAUUCUUUCCACGAGAGAGCGUUAACCCUCACUUCUCUCUUAGAGUUCGUCCAUGUCACUUUUCCCCUACUCCCGCAGCCUGGUCUCGUGCGAGGCUUGUCCGGUGCCUUCCUGGUCAACCAGGUGUUACUGCUGGCGGCCCACUGACCCGGCAUUAAAUAUUACUAGUACAAGUGUUAGAUCUAUCAGAUUGUGAUGGAAAUGUGUACCUGAGGACAGCCAACAGCAACAGCCUAGUUGACCAAGCACUCUACGGGAAGACAUAGCCAUGGAAGUAGGAUAACUCCGGCAACAGGUCACAGAUGUCGAGUUGUGGAGAUGCACACCGGGCCGCGGGGGCGCUGAUCCCCGGAAUAUCCUCCGGGUAGACUCCAGGUAUAUCUCUGGUCCCGAGUUCAACCCUUCACCUACAUUGUUUUGGCACCCACGCACUAUCGUAGUCGGGAAAUUGGAACUGAUGACCUCGGUUUCAGUAAUAUGAUAGUUUUAUGUCAGUGUAUCUGCUGAAGGUCCACAUUAUAAUCAAAGAAAGCGCUAAACCAACAAGUGUCAUGCAGCUGAAAGUCUACAGUUGAAGUCGUUUUGUUCUCCUUGAUUCCUUGCCUGAUGCUGUGCUGUUCACUACUGCUUAGAGCAUUACUGCUGUUUGGUGAAGGGGUCGUCAUAUUGUUCAAACAAGCUGUUUUUUGACUGCCUUGAUGGUACAGAAGUAAGCUUAUCUAGGGAUUUGUUGCUGUCAGUCAUAUUCUAAGCCAAGUCAGUCCGAGCACUUACACAUACUUACUCUUGCACUUAUUGAGUACAUUUCGUCCUAGGAACUUACCAGACGGUACAUUAAGAGUACAGUAUCUUAUCAAAUGUGUCCAUAGCACCAUACAAGCGUUAAACCCACCAUAUGUGGGGUUAGUGCCUUUCCCUAAAUAUAACAAGUACUGUAUAUAGGGCAGUUCAGUUUGUAAAAAGAUGUUCACGAGUGUGGACGGAGGACACAAUGUGAACACCACAAAAUAAAAAUUAAUGUAUCAAUGCUUCUGAAUUCUUACCUAAGCAUUAAAUCAGUGUUAAUCAAAACUAAUGGCUAAACCCACCAGGGUUUUAAAUAUUUCCCCCUCAGGUGAGGUGCCUUGAUGCUGGUGAAGGAGUCAUGAUCCAAGGAACUGAAACUUGUGCUCCCUCUCCUUGCAGUGAACCCAAAUGACUCUCAUUAUCUCAGAUGCCAUACAACUCCUACGGGUUAAGCAAUCCCCCAUGAAUGUACUAUGACCAAUGAAGAGUGUUAUGCCUCAAAUCUACACUUUUUUGGUGUGACACAGGCGAGGUAAACACAGCAUCACCGACACUGGUGACCUGCAGCAUCACAGACACACUGGAGACCUGUAUCAUCACUAACACUGGUGACCUGCAGCAUCACCGACACACUGGUGACCUGCAGCAUCACCGACACACUGGUGACCUGCAGCAUCACCGACGCACUGGUGACCUGCAGCAUCACGCUCGCCCUCUGAUGUCACGUGAGGUCACAGGGUGAAACUCGUCAACCCCAGUUAUCAGACGUCAAGAAAUAGUUCGUCGACAAACGGAAAGUGAGGAAAUAGAAUGAGAUGUUUACAUAAACUAAUAAGAUGAAAACUAAUUUAUGAUGGUUAACACAGCGGAUGCAAGAAUUACAUCUCAUCCCCUAAGCUUAAAAUAUGUAAUCACUGGGUCAGCCAAGUUGUGAUGAUUAUGCAGACGAGCUGCAAGCAGCAACAAGAUUGGUCAUGCAGUCACCAGGGAAACCUGACAUCAUUCUGGGCUGUAAGAGUUGAAUAACUCUUGCAAACAAUCACAGUUAACACAAACUAAUUCAGUGUAAACUGUCAUACAAAAAUAUAUUUUCAUUGCAAUUAAAGAGAAAAACUGGAGUAUUCUUGAAUGUUUGGAUCAAUUUACCCAGAGCGUAAUUCGUGCAUAUAAAAAUGGAUGGCAAACAUGGAAAACAAAUGUGUACCAAUUUUUACUUUUCAGGAAUCUCUUUGCAUAUUCAUGGAGUGUUUUAUAUUUAAAUAGCCGCAGCCAUCUUUUCUGUGGCCCCUGAAGGCGCCUGCCUCCCCGACCCCCACCAUACUAACCUACCUCUCAGCACAAGCCUAAAUAAUAGCUGCAUUCAUGCUCUUAUUUUACAACCACUGUCCUACUCGCAUAGUUUGUCUCGGAUGUUUUGAGAAGUGGGAAACUGAAAGGAUCAGAGAGAAAUGCAGGGAGGGAUGAGCGAAGGAGAGGAGGAAGUGAGGGGCAAGAUUGCGCAAGGGUUAGUAGGGAUGAGGCGCAGUCCAGAAUUAAAAUCUUCAGAGUUGAUGCAAUAAGUUAUUUUCUGUUAAAAAAAACUGAGUCUGUCAAAGGUGGGACUUCCAGCGAGGUCAGUUAAGCUUACUAUAAACACACACACAACCUAUAUCAGUAUUAUACUCAAAAGCGCUAAACCCACGGGGGUCAUACAACGUGUGGGAAUGAGACAAUGAGGUUCGAUCCAAGGGAAGGUCAAAUUCCUUUUAUCAAGAGCCCCUCACCAGCAUCACUGAGCCUCCCUUGCGGAGUAUACUGGUAGUAUAACAAGUGUCGAAAGAUAUUGCAGUAAUCCCUGCAUGUUGACACCUAACCUCUGGUGUUAGUGAUGCGUCUGGCGUAAUAAGUAGUUCAGUGUUGAAGAAAAGACGUGUUGCACAACAAGUUUUUAUUACCACAGUAUUUUACUCUGCUAUCGCUUUAUCAAGUACCUUGAACUUGAUGCAGCCAUGGCAGACCCAAACAUUGCCCUAAUUAAAGCUUUAUUUUUUACAAUGUGUCUCUUCUUCAACAAAGUCAGCAGUGUGCCAUAUGGAUCUUGAAGACUACAAGAGGUUACCUGGAGCCUGGU